UCCAGUUGGAAGGCAGAACCUUGGACAGGGAUGGCCACAACUUCCUCUGAGAUCAGAGGAAAGAGGCAAGGAUGACGAGAGUGAAGAGAGCCUGGUGCUAGAGGGGCUGUGUGGACAGGCUCAGCAGACACCUCAGAUGGGACCUCUGUGGACUGAUGAUUCAAGGACCACCUCCCCUCCAACCUGCCUGCUUCAACACAAAUCGUGUUCAUGGAGCUUCAACACCACCCUGGGAAAAACAGGGAGAGGAAACCCAGAAUAAAUGGAAAAUACGUUUCUGACCAUCAGGUGGAAUAGGAACUUGAAAUAGAAAUAGAGUUAUAGAAAAAAUUUAAAAAUUCCUAUUUCUGAUAUCACUGAGUUUAUGAGAGACUCAUUGUGGCAGGGGCAGCAGCAGAGACUCGUGACAAAGAUGCCAGCUCCAGCAGACACAGCCCCCAGGAUGGCCAACGGCCCAGCCCAGGAGGAAAACAGGAGAGUUUGGCAGUGACCAGAGGAAACGAGUCUCUGCGAGAGAGAGGAGUCAUUCGAUCACACUGCCUGGGGCUCCUUUGUGAGGAGGAAUGAGAACUUGGAAAAACUCCUAUACUAUACGCUGUAUACUUACUUUUUAGUCCAAAGUGUGGGUCAGUUAUUUCAAACAAAUCCACUCGGCAGCUAAAUAAAGACCUGAGUUAAACCAAGAAGCCCUCCAAGGAUGCUUUCUCUCUCAUGGCCGGGACCAAGUGGGUUCUGCUUGACUGGUGGUGUGGCACCACGAGGACCAACCAGAGAAGCCAAAUAUGCAUCGCAACCAACCACAUGGGAUGCCCCGCUUCCAGAUAGCCCACCUGCAGAUCCCUGACGCCAACAGCCUCCAGACAGGGCACACCUGGAGCCUGCCCUUUUCUACUCUAAAGCUUCCCCACUCCUCUGCUGCCUUUGGGUCUCUGCCAAAAUGCAGGUGAUGGCGGCUGACUCCCUUGCUGCAGCAAGCCCUG
RNAcentral lists this long non-coding RNA (980 nucleotides) under Equus caballus (horse). Its description in RNAcentral is "lncRNA (ENSECAG00000043949.1)". Lineage: Eukaryota; Metazoa; Chordata; Mammalia; Perissodactyla; Equidae. The record is from RNAcentral.